RNAcentral lists this ribosomal RNA (271 nucleotides) under Leclercia tamurae. RNAcentral's name for it is "partial 23S ribosomal RNA". It matches the Rfam family "Bacterial large subunit ribosomal RNA", at positions 1 to 272 of the family's 2925-position model. The record is from RNAcentral. Lineage: Bacteria; Pseudomonadati; Pseudomonadota; Gammaproteobacteria; Enterobacterales; Enterobacteriaceae.
GGUUAAGCGACUAAGCGUACACGGUGGAUGCCUAGGCAGUCAGAGGCGAUGAAGGACGUGCUAAUCUGCGAUAAGCGUCGGUAAGGUGAUAUGAACCGUUACAGCCGACGAUUUCCGAAUGGGGAAACCCAGUGCAAUCCGUUGCACUAUCGUUAAGUGAAUACAUAGCUUAACGAAGCGAACCAGGGGAACUGAAACAUCUAAGUACCCUGAGGAAAAGAAAUCAACCGAGAUUCCCCCAGUAGCGGCGAGCGAACGGGGAGCAGCCCAG